GAUAGUGGCAAACGGGUGAGUAACGCGUAAGUAACCUACCUCUAAGUGGGGGAUAGCUUCGGGAAACUGAAGGUAAUACCGCAUGUGAUGGGCUGACAUAAGUCGGUUCAUUAAAGCCGCAAGGUGCUUGGUGAGGGGCUUGCGUCCGAUUAGCUAGUUGGUGGGGUAAUGGCCUACCAAGGCUUCGAUCGGUAGCUGGUCUGAGAGGAUGAUCAGCCACACUGGGACUGAGACACGGCCCAGACUCCUACGGGAGGCAGCAGCAAGGAAUCUUGGGCAAUGGGCGAAAGCCUGACCCAGCAACGCCGCGUGAGGGAUGAAGGCUUUCGGGUUGUAAACCUCUUUUCACAGGGAAGAAUAAUGACGGUACCUGUGGAAUAAGCUUCGGCUAACUACGUGCCAGCAGCCGCGGUAAUACGUAGGAAGCAAGCGUUAUCCGGAUUUAUUGGGCGUAAAGUGAGCGUAGGUGGUCUUUCAAGUUGGAUGUGAAAUUUCCCGGCUUAACCGGGACGUGUCAUUCAAUACUGUUGGACUAGAGUACAGCAGGAGAAAACGGAAUUCCCGGUGUAGUGGUAAAAUGCGUAGAUAUCGGGAGGAACACCAGAGGCGAAGGCGGUUUUCUAGGUUGUCACUGACACUGAGGCUCGAAAGCGUGGGGAGCGAACAGAAUUAGAUACUCUGGUAGUCCACGCCUUAAACUAUGGACACUAGGUAUAGGGAGUAUCGACCCUCUCUGUGCCGAAGCUAACGCUUUAAGUGUCCCGCCUGGGGAGUACGGUCGCAAGGCUAAAACUCAAAGGAAUUGAC
RNAcentral lists this ribosomal RNA (807 nucleotides) under uncultured Dehalococcoides sp. RNAcentral's name for it is "bacterial SSU rRNA". It matches the Rfam family "Bacterial small subunit ribosomal RNA", at positions 91 to 914 of the family's 1533-position model. The record is from RNAcentral. Lineage: Bacteria; Bacillati; Chloroflexota; Dehalococcoidia; Dehalococcoidales; Dehalococcoidaceae.